RNAcentral lists this ribosomal RNA (692 nucleotides) under Pseudomonadota bacterium. RNAcentral describes it as "bacterial SSU rRNA". It matches the Rfam family "Bacterial small subunit ribosomal RNA", at positions 35 to 722 of the family's 1533-position model. The record is from RNAcentral. Lineage: Bacteria; Pseudomonadati; Pseudomonadota.
GCUGGCGGAAUGCUUUACACAUGCAAGUCGAACGGCAGCACGGGGGCAACCCUGGUGGCGAGUGGCGAACGGGUGAGUAAUAUAUCGGAACGUGCCCAGUCGUGGGGGAUAACGUAGCGAAAGUUACGCUAAUACCGCAUACGAUCUACGGAUGAAAGCGGGGGAUCGCAAGACCUCGCGCGAUUGGAGCGGCCGAUAUCAGAUUAGGUAGUUGGUGGGGUAAAGGCUCACCAAGCCAACGAUCUGUAGCUGGUCUGAGAGGACGACCAGCCACACUGGGACUGAGACACGGCCCAGACUCCUACGGGAGGCAGCAGUGGGGAAUUUUGGACAAUGGACGCAAGUCUGAUCCAGCCAUUCCGCGUGCAGGACGAAGGCCUUCGGGUUGUAAACUGCUUUUGUACGGAACGAAAAAGCUCUUACUAAUACUAGGAGUCCAUGACGGUACCGUAAGAAUAAGCACCGGCUAACUACGUGCCAGCAGCCGCGGUAAUACGUAGGGUGCGAGCGUUAAUCGGAAUUACUGGGCGUAAAGCGUGCGCAGGCGGUUAUAUAAGACAGAUGUGAAAUCCCCGGGCUCAACCUGGGAACUGCAUUUGUGACUGUAUAGCUAGAGUGCGGCAGAGGGGGAUGGAAUUCCGCGUGUAGCAGUGAAAUGCGUAGAUAUGCGGAGGAACACCGAUGGCGAAGGC